UGAGGAAUAUUGCACAAUGGGCGAAAGCCUGAUGCAGCAACGCCGCGUGAGUGAUGAAGGCCUUUGGGUCGUAAAACUCUGUCCUUGGGGAAGAAAAAAAUGACGGUACCCUUGGAGGAAGCCCCGGCUAACUACGUGCCAGCAGCCGCGGUAAUACGUAGGGGGCAAGCGUUAUCCGGAAUUAUUGGGCGUAAAGAGUGCGUAGGUGGUUUUGUAAGCGUAGGGUGAAAGGCAGUAGCUCAACUAUUGUUAGCCCUGCGAACUGUGAGACUUGAGUGCAGGAGAGGAAAGUGGAAUUCCUAGUGUAGCGGUGAAAUGCGUAGAUAUUAGGAGGAACACCAGUGGCGAAGGCGACUUUCUGGACUGUAACUGACACUGAGGCACGAAAGCGUGGGUAGCAAACAGG
This 406-nucleotide ribosomal RNA is filed under the name uncultured bacterium. RNAcentral's name for it is "bacterial SSU rRNA". It matches the Rfam family "Bacterial small subunit ribosomal RNA", at positions 355 to 776 of the family's 1533-position model. The record is from RNAcentral.